CUUGCCAAACAAAAGCUUUCAGCUUUGGCUCUCUACUGAACUGCAUUCACUGAAUGGUUCUAUACCACGAAAGACCAUCGCUCGCUGCAGUUCACUGCAUUUGGACUUUUCCAGGCACAGUGCCAUCAACAACUUCCUUGAGGUUGAAUGGCAUUUUUUCGCUGUUGGAAACAAGAAUAGCCACAACAGAGACAGACCAGUGACAAGGAUGAACCACAGAGGCUCAAGUAAGAAUUUUCAGAUUCAGCAACAUCCAGGAAUCUGCAAAGAGUUGCUCGUGAUGCAGGUAAGAAAAUACUAAUUAACUGCCCUUAUUUUCUUUGUUUUACUGACUUAAUGACUUCGAUGCAAUUUGAUGAAAAGAUUGGCUUGAAAAGAAACUGAAUGAGGAAAUCUCGAGGGGUAGGUAGAACACUCCAGACAAUUAUGUAACAGAGUAAGUUUUGUGAUGUGUCUCUUUGUACCACAAAGCAAAUUAUAUGAUCAGAUGUUGAUCAUUCACAUUCUGUCACUUUCCAGCAUUGAGCAAGUAGACGUGCAGAUCUUUUUGAACGACAGUAUGUAACAGAGCUCUUCACCGAUGUCAGUCAAUGGUUUUCACACAAAUAGGUCAAAAAUUUAAAAAUCUAAAUCUCUGUCUCGGCUGAAAGCAAGCCUAACUAAAAACCCACUGUGUUGUUUUUCCCUUUUUCUCCAUGUUAUUAAAUUUUAUGACUUAGUCAAACAAGAAUUCCUGUAGGCAGACCUAGAAAAUUUCCCACUAGUAUGUUUAAUUUUAGUUUGAAACAUGAAAAUACACAAAUUUAACAAAACUGAGUUUUCAGGAGCUGGCUAAAAAUACCAGUGAACAACAGCAACUGAUGCAAAUUACAAUUUUUAGCACUGAAAUCCUUAUUAUCAAAUCAGGUCUACUGACGUUCCCUCAUUUUUGGAAACAUUUUCCUUUAGUUCAGGUAAAGGAAUUCUUCCUUGUGUUUUUUAAGUGCUCCUGAAUGGCAUUUCUAGAACAAAUGACUGCCCUGUUCUAGUAGCUCAUUCAUUACCGCGGCCACCUGCCUCAGUUUCUUUUUGGAAAGCCUUAUGGGAAUCUUCUUACUAUGAGCAAGGUAUAACCACAACAUAUAUUUAUUACCAUCAGGACCCAAUGAAAGGUCUCACCUAUUUUCCUUUUCAAGAUGAGCACAGAUGGUAUGCCUUAAGUGAAACAAGAGUAUGAAUCUGCCCAGUUGAUAAUUUUCUGUUUGAAAAAAGAAAAAUCUACUAAUGCUUACUGUAAUCCAAGUGAUGCUGCAUUCCUUUAUUCAUAGAGUAGGCAUGACCAUGUUGUUGGUUAUGCAAAGUAUAUUUGCUAACCCUUAAGUUGCAGCAGCCAUUUUGAAUAUUAGAAUUAUGAAUAUGAUUACGGAAGUGGAUAUUGUAUUAAACCCCCCAAAUUGCACACUUGCACUACUCUGGAGAGUCUGCAGGUAUCUGCAGAUAAAUGGUCAUCUGAGACAACAAAGAAUUUGAGAUGGCCUGAAGAAACCUUUAGAUUGACACUCCUUGAGAAGUUGUUCAGAUUACAUGGGACAGUGUACCCAAAGAUGGGAACUUCACUAGUGCUCAGCAUCAGCUUGGUCUGUUCCAAAAUAAUGAUCUUACUCCCUUAAACGCAAGAGCUGUACACUUGUGAAAA
This is a long non-coding RNA of Pavo cristatus (Indian peafowl), 1675 nucleotides long. The record is from Ensembl. NCBI's taxonomy places the organism in Eukaryota, Metazoa, Chordata, Aves, Galliformes, Phasianidae.